RNAcentral lists this long non-coding RNA (357 nucleotides) under Vigna radiata. Its description in RNAcentral is "long non-coding RNA (VRAD_LNC015197)". The record is from RNAcentral. Lineage: Eukaryota; Viridiplantae; Streptophyta; Magnoliopsida; Fabales; Fabaceae.
AUCUUUCCACAGAUUGACAAAAAUCUUGAUCAACAGAUGAACACCACAAUGUGCAGAAUGUGAUCAAUCAGAAAGCACGAAAUUCUUCUCCUUCAGAACCUCUUCAAAGAAAGAUCUCCACCGUCUUCUUGAUGAGUUCUUGGAGCACUUAAUCUCAGGAUUCUAAUUUGAAAACAGAAAAUGAAAAUGCCAUUUUAUCGAAAGUUCUAUGUGAUCAAUUGAGUCACGUCUAUUUAUAGUUUUCUGUAAAUCAGACUCUCCUGUAGUCGACUGUGCUACUAAUGAAUACGAUUGUCAUCAGACAGUUAUAAUAGUUAAGCAAAUUAGGAGCAGUCAUGAUAAGAAAAUUGAUUUUGC